Long non-coding RNA from Oreochromis niloticus (Nile tilapia), 949 nucleotides. RefSeq annotates it as ladderlectin. The record is from RefSeq and is a predicted model, not a curated record. Lineage: Eukaryota; Metazoa; Chordata; Actinopteri; Cichliformes; Cichlidae. The transcript has 7 exons.
UUUUUUUUCAAUGUUAGUUCCCUGUUUUGAAACUACAAAGAAACAGAAUAUAAGCAGUGAUCUCAGAGCUGUUCAUCACCUUGUUCCAACCUUGGAAGGCUGAAGCUACUGACUGAACAGACAAGAUAUUCUACAAAAGAGAUACUAAUUAUCACCAUGAAGCUGCUGACUGUGUCUGCACUUCUUUGUGCAAUGAUCGCUCUGACCACUGCUGCGAAUGAAGUGGGUAAGGAUGGGUCUGAAUCAAAUCCCCAAGGAGAGCAUCUUGUAGAGAAGAGAUCUACAUGUUUCAGGGAUUUCUGGGGUUGGACUAAAUAUGGAAACCAAUACUUUCACUUCUUUCCCAAUCAACUGACUUGGGCUCAGGCACAGAGACACUGUCAGGCCCUGAAUGCAAAUCUGGCAUCUGUGCGCAACCUUGGAGAAUACCAAGCGAUUCAGAGGGUCAUAUUAAAUGGUGCUCGUAAUAAUGUCCCUACAUGGAUUGGAGGUUCAGAUGCUCAAGAGGAGGGUUAUUGGUUUUGGAUUGAUGGAACCCGUUUCACAUAUGCAAACUGGUGUCAAGGAGAGCCUAACAAUGUCGGGGGCAGAGAGAACUGCCUGCAUAUGAAUUGGACAGGAAACCUCUGUAUGAAUGACAUACCCUGUAACGCCAGAUACCCAUUUGUCUGCGCCAGGAAAGUCAGACGAUCUCUGGAAUGAAGGCUUGGUUCACCGGUCCUCGGAGCAAAUAAUCUCAUAAAUCCAGCUUAAAAUGUUUCUCUUCUUACAUCUUUACUUCUUUUAGUUCACUGCAACGCUACAUAAGGAAUAAGUUGAAAAAUGAUGCAACCUGUAGUUGGAUUGUCUCUUUUAAUGAGUGUGUAAUGGCAAGAAUGCUUUAAGCUUUCACUUUACUUUCCUGAAAGAACAUCAUCUUCAUUAUUAAACCUUUAAGCAUUGAAUCAAA